RNAcentral lists this ribosomal RNA (479 nucleotides) under uncultured anaerobic ammonium-oxidizing bacterium. RNAcentral's name for it is "bacterial SSU rRNA". It matches the Rfam family "Bacterial small subunit ribosomal RNA", at positions 364 to 833 of the family's 1533-position model. The record is from RNAcentral.
UUUCGCAAUGCCCGAAAGGGUGACGAAGCGACGCCGCGUGGGUGAGGAAGGCCUUCGGGUUGUAAAGCCCUGUCAGGAGUUAAGAAAUGUAAGUGCGCUAAUAUCGCAUUUAUUUGACGAAGGCUCCAAAGGAAGUCACGGCUAACUCUGUGCCAGCAGCCGCGGUAAUACAGAGGUGGCAAGCGUUGUUCGGAAUUAUUGGGCGUAAAGAGCACGUAGGUGGGUUUGUAAGUCAGAUGUGAAAGCCUUCUGUUCAACGGAAGAAUUGCAUCUGAAACUGCGAGUCUUGAGUGUAGGAGGGGAGAAUGGAACUUCUGGUGGAGCGGUGAAAUGCGUAGAUAUCAGAAGGAACGCCGGCGGCGAAAGCGAUUCUCUGGCCUAUUACUGACACUCAGUGUGCGAAAGCUAGGGGAGCAAACGGGGUUAGAUACCCCGGUAGUCCUAGCCGUAAACGAUGGGCACUAAGUAGAGGGGUUUUA